AUACUUACCUGGCAGGGGAGAUACCAUGAUCACAAAGGUGAUUUCCCAGGGCAAGGCGUAUCCACUGCACUCUGGAUGUGCUGACCCCUGAAAUUUCCACAAAUGUGGGAAACUCAACUGCAUAAUUUGUGGUAGUGGGGGAAAGAAAGCAA
RNAcentral lists this small nuclear RNA (152 nucleotides) under Carlito syrichta (Philippine tarsier). Its description in RNAcentral is "U1 spliceosomal RNA (ENSTSYG00000036543.1)". It matches the Rfam family "U1 spliceosomal RNA". From Rfam's summary of the family: U1 is a small nuclear RNA (snRNA) component of the spliceosome (involved in pre-mRNA splicing). Its 5' end forms complementary base pairs with the 5' splice junction, thus defining the 5' donor site of an intron. Lineage: Eukaryota; Metazoa; Chordata; Mammalia; Primates; Tarsiidae. The record is from Rfam by way of RNAcentral.